RNAcentral lists this ribosomal RNA (253 nucleotides) under uncultured bacterium. RNAcentral's name for it is "partial 16S ribosomal RNA". It matches the Rfam family "Bacterial small subunit ribosomal RNA", at positions 524 to 776 of the family's 1533-position model. The record is from RNAcentral.
UACGCAGGGUGCAAGCGUUACUCGGAAUUACUGGGCGUAAAGCGUGCGUAGGUGGUUUGUUAAGUCUGAUGUGAAAGCCCUGGGCUCAACCUGGGAAUUGCAUUGGAUACUGGCAGGCUAGAGUGCGGUAGAGGAUGGCGGAAUUCCCGGUGUAGCAGUGAAAUGCGUAGAGAUCGGGAGGAACAUCUGUGGCGAAGGCGGCCAUCUGGACCAGCACUGACACUGAGGCACGAAAGCGUGGGGAGCAAACAGG